This is a long non-coding RNA of Tympanuchus pallidicinctus (lesser prairie-chicken), 4999 nucleotides long. RefSeq lists it as uncharacterized. Lineage: Eukaryota; Metazoa; Chordata; Aves; Galliformes; Phasianidae. The record is from RefSeq and is a predicted model, not a curated record. The transcript has 5 exons.
GGCCAGGAGAUCAGCCUUUGGGUUUGUUUUGCACCUGCCUCUUAGGUUUACAGCCCUGCUCCUGCUUGUCACCUCUGCCCAAUUGCUUUUAUGCGUUACUGCUCCUGCCAAGAUUUCCCUGCUUGUAUAGGAGAGAAGAUAUUACAUGUUUUCUUAAAAUAACUGCAGGUGAAGGUUUUAAUGCACGUUGCAGGCACAGAGGGGACAAGUGGCUGCAAGUACAUGUGAGAAGGACCUGUUUUCUUUGCAACUUAGUGUGCUGAAAUAAAAAUUGUUGACUACUUUCCCAUGUCACAGUUCAGGCAGAAGGUUGGAAGUCUGAGAUUAGUUUAAGUGAGUUUAACUUCCUGAAAUUGGAUUUUUCCUGUUAACCAACUUUGGUUGUACCUGUUUGGUGGGUAUAAAGCAGGAGGAUAGGUUAAAAGGAAAAAGCAUAUAAUAAGAAAUGAUGUGUUAACAGCUAGAAAAUGGAGCUUAGAAGAAAUUUUUAUAAGUGCUGUGUGGAGUAAUGCAAGUAUAUUACAGCAUUUUCAAUUGCUGUGAAACUGCACAGCUUUGCUCCAGCUUUCUGGUCGUCUGUGUCAAUCCCAGCAGCCAGCUGAUCUAUCAGCUCUAUCCCUCCUUGCCACUUGCCCUCAGUAAUUGCACUGGGCUGGACUCUUCAUGCAGUGCACUUGGUGGGAUGCAUUGCCUUGGCCUGUGAUUAGCCAGCAGUUGUUAUCUCUCACCAAGCCUGUGCUGUGAAAUUCUGUUGGCAUGAUACCAAGCAGCAGAGGAGAUGGUGGCAUUUCUAAGUGACAGAAUUACCAUAUCUUCUACAACUGCUAUUGAGAUCCUCCAUGAACAGAGAAAGAUGCACAGAACCAAUAGACAUUAAAAAUGCAGAGGAAUUGUAGUGUAUCUUCUCCAACUGGCCUCCUUUUAUCCCUUCCCUUUCUCCUUCCCCUUUCCCCCUUCCCUUCCCUUUUCAGUGCAGACCUUCCACUAAGAAUUCAGUCUUGGGGUGAGAUAAUUAGCUGCAACAAAGUUCAAAGGAGCACUUUCUGGGGAGUUACUGAGUUUUCUUUCUCCCUAUCUCUGAUAAAACAGAGAGAAAAUACAGAGAGAAAAGAAGAACAUUUCUCAAGGACAGUAGACUGAAACAUUAGUAUGUGGAAAAUACAGACUUACACAGCUACCAGAGAGCAGUAAGAGGGCAAGACAACUGCUAGUAGGGGAAUUACCCUGUAUUCCUCAGCAGUGCUUGUAAUCACCAUGUCUGAAGCCACUAACAGCCAGAUUUGUGUCCACCAGAACAAACUAUCCUGGAACAAAAAACUUUGAAAUGGAGUCAUAAGUUAGAUGAGCAUAUAUCCCUUUUCCUCCAUUUCCAGUUUGGAAUCUGGUAACAUCAGCUGGUAUUUCUGCCUGUGAGCAGCCCCAGGCUGUGUGACCUUAAUGGGGACCUUGGGGGCUGGCAGCCGGUGUGAGAAGAUGUGGAUGGAUUGGCUCUCUCCACAGAUGUGAUUCACAGAAGAUGGUGAAGGAGGAGCAGACAUUACCCAAAGACCCACUGAAGAGCUGAAAUCUGAGAAAUGCUGGUUGCUUGUCAAAUGAACAGAAGUAAUGCCACAGUGUUCUUAUUGUUUGUUUCUAACGAAAACCUCUGUUGAGAUGAAAUGGAUGCUCACUGCUUUGUGAUAGUAUUUGUGGCUGCUUUGUAUUUUCUGUCAGACACGCAGAAUGUCAAAAGUACAUUUUCACAACUGAGAAUCAUUAGGUUUUGACAGAACUAGUUUGCUUAAGGACAGUAAGGGCAGGUAACUGUCAUUGUGAUGGGCAGCUGAUUGUCUUCUCAUUGGAAGAAAUACAGUUUACUCAUCUCGAAGGGAGAAAAUUACGGCACUGGAUUUUCUUUCUUUCUAAAAGGCCCAAGGGAAACCCUGUGGGUGGUGGGAGCAUCGCAGCGCCUGUCACACCCUGUGCUGCCUCUCCCCUCCUCUCUGGCCUCAGCAUGACAGAAAACAUCUCACCGGAAAGAUCACCAUGUUUGGACUUUUGUUACAGCGAUUCAGCAAUCUAUUUGUUGCUGUCUUCUAAAAUGCCCUUCCUACACCAUGAUUUAAAAUACUGUGCUUUUUGCCUGGUUACCAGAAUUGCUAUGUUUUUCUGCAAGGCAAAGGUUUUCCAAGCCAGAUUAGGCCAACAAAGCACUGCUUUAUCUGCAUGCUUUGGUAAAAGACUGUAUGCUGAACAACUUACUGAGGGAGACAGCUUCUUCCAGAGGCCGGGUGCUGUGCCCUGAGGAGAAGGACACCAUUACUGGGUGGAAUAGGCUGCUCUCCUGCAGUGUACACUGUCUUUAAUGUGGCUUUACUUUGCUGAUGAGGGAAUCUAAUGAUUUAAUAUAACCUUCCACCACACAAAGCUAAUCAAAAUGAGGUCAGAAGACAAAAUUAGUCUUCUCAUGUUACUGAGAAGGAACAAAAAUAUCACUGACUUGCAUGACACAUGACCAAGCACUACAGAGAAAGACCUGUCAGUGUUUUCCUUUUUGCAGGAAAGAAAAAAAAAAAAGGCAACUUUGAGCACAUAUAAUUAUUUUCUAAAUCACCUUAGAACACGUCUUUAUUUUAAGAAAGGUAAUUUUAAGAAGCUCAGUGAUGUCGAGGUGAGAGGUAUUACUAGAAGUGCUGCAGCCAGGUGGGCGAAACAACAACUUCACUUUCAGCUCCCAGAUAAAGCAAUCAUCUGGGCUCACGCAUUUAUAGCAUACCACGUGUGCAGGAGCCUGGCACUUUGCAGAGAAGGAAGAUGUAACUUGGGUGCUUGGAUAGGCCUGGUGUCUGCUGUAGGAUCAACCCAGCACUGAUGGAGAUCCAUUUUAUCUAUCUUGUGAUAAAGGCAGUCUAAGGAUUGCAAAAGCACUGCUUUGUUGGCCUGUCUGAGCUACUGAAGGUGAACUCUCCAAGGCCCAGACUUCUUCACCAGCUGAAGUUUUAAUGGUCUUGCUUAAUACAGAAGCAACCAAUAUGAGCAUCAGCUGUGGGGCAAAUUUGUGGUCUCUAAAAUAGCCUGGUUCUACCUCCUGAGAGCACUCGUGUUGUGCUGCCCAAGUAACCUUCAGCUGCUGCACAGGAUCUCAGAGCUUGGAUUCUGUCCUUGGAGUGUUAAAGCUCGUCUUAUGUUUCAGCGGUACAAUGAAUAUGGAAUGUGGUAUUUGUCUUCAAAGCAUCAAAAAAUAUCUCGUUAUUCUGAGCUGGACAUCUCAUCAAAUGGCAGUGAAUGCAAAUGAUCAGGAUGCAUAAAUCUUCAGUGUUGAGGGAAGAAGACAAAGCUGGUAUGCAAUGGAAGGAUGAACCACUGGUCUCCAGAUAUCUUAAUGUCAUCUCCUCCCACUUGCUCUUUUAAGUGACUGAUCCACUUUCACAAUCUUUUUGAGCUUCUUCAGGAAAAUCAAUUUGGGAAGAAAUUCAUUCCACAUUCAGCAGCCAGGAGCUUGUGACAGUCACUGAGACAGUGACUCAAACACAGUGUUCAGAACCCUGGUAUCAGAUCAGCCUUUCCUGUAGUGAAGCUAUUGAUCAGGUUCUGAGGACCAAAUUGUCACAAGGAUGGAAUCCACGGGUUCCCAAUACCCUUCCCUCAUAGUGACAGUCUCAACAAUGAGAAACAGAGCAGCUACAUAAAUCAAGAAUAAAUUAGGAAUACUUAAUAAACAGCUUUCAACAGAUUUUUAGCAUAUCAAAGUUAGUUUACAAUGGAAACUUAUCUGUUCUGAUACAGCACUCGGCAAGGUUUGUUCCUCAGAAGACAUUUAUCCAACAGAAGUGUCAGAAAUUAGACAAUCCCAAAUGUCGCUUUUUCAUGGCUGUUGUUACCCACCAAAGCCAUUCACUUUUACAGGCAGUCCCAUGAGUAAAGGGAAAUUUUGUUCCAAACAAGAAAUAACCACAGGCUUAUGCUUUAUAAAUAAUUGCAAUACCCAUUCUUUCUCUUUCCCUCAAAGGCAUGUAGGACUGAUAGACGUUCGUCCACAUAGCAGAACAUCAGAAGUAAUUACAAAACAUAAAUGAGGCUUAUCCAUUCAUCUCAGCUACUCUGUCAGAUUGUGUAGACAGCAGGCAUUUUAUCACACCUUACACGAUUAAGUUUUGUAAUAGCUUAUUUUCUUCAUGCACUACAACACCUUCAUGCACUUAAGCUAUAAUGAAGCUCCGUGGAUUCCUCUUUGAGAAUCACUUCUAAAGUACAACUCUUCAGCUUUUCUUACCAAACAAAAACAAAAAAAAAGAGGAUGCCAUGAGAAAGGAAGAGGAUUGUAUAAUUAUAGGCAAGCUGCCCUCUUAACAGGAACUAAGCAUGACUACACUGAAUAGGGCUCAGUGACCAUAAAGCAACAGGUGUUCAUAGUGUUUUGGCUCCUCAGACUUGGUGCUCUAGAGCAGAAAUUAAUGAAUUGAUUUCAGAGGGGGGUCAUAACAUCUAAUAGUGCAACUGUGGGUCUCACCAGCUCGAGCACACACAAAGCCCUCUAAAAAUCACUACACUGCUUCUACAACCAAGUUGAACACCUACAUAUAUGCUUUUCAGCAAGAAACGCAAAUCAAUUUUUGUUACUUUGUCCAAGACAGCAAAUCUAGUUGGCAUACAAAGAGCUUUAGUUCUGGUUGUAAGGAAUAUUUCUGUUUUCAUUGAUUCUGGGACAGAUAAAAGACAGGAGCAAAAGAAAUCUGCCUCCAGAGUUUCAGAAGAUUCUUGAGAUUGCCAAGUUUAAUGAUAUUUCUCAAAACUUCACCAGGCUACUUUGAAACCCUUUCACUCAGAAUUAUCUGUAGGUUACUGUUGGUUAUACAUUAGUUUCAUUAGUUACUUUACAAAUCCUUAACUUUCACAAUCUUUAUACUUACUGACAUAUCCAUAGCAAAAUCUUUUAGCUAUCUUCUACCUUUUCCUAGUAGUGAAAAUUUUCCUUUCUAUUUUUUUUUCUUUGUAUGACUUUUUUUUUCUUUGAAAGAGC